CAGCCUCCGAUCAGACGUGGCGACCCGCUGAAUUUAAGCAUAUUCGUCAGCGGAGGAAAAGAAACUAACCAGGAUUCCCUCUGUAACGGCGAGUGAACAGGGAAGAGCCCAGCGCCGAAUCCCUGCCCCGCAGUGGGGCACGGGACAAGUGGCGUACGGAAGACUCACUCCCCGGCGCUGCUCGUGGGGGGCCAAGUCCUUCUGAUCGUGGCCCAGCCCAUGGACGGUGUGAGGACGGUAGCGGCCCACGGCGUGCCUGGCAUGGGUCUUCCCGGAGUCGGGUGCCUUGGGAAUGCAGCCCAAAGCGGGUGGUAAACUCCAUCUAAGGCUGAAUACUGGCACGAGACCGAUAGUCAACAAGUACCGCAAGGGAAAGUUGAAAACUUUGAAGAGAUUUCAAGAGGGCUUGAAACCGGUAAGAGGUAAAUGGGUGGGGUCCGUGGCAUCCGCACAGAGGAUUCAACCCGGCGGCGUGUCUGGCCGUUGCCCGCGCCCGGCGGAUCUUUCCCCGCCCCACAUUCCUCCCGACCCCUCCACCCGCCCAAUCCCCCGCCGUCCCCCCUCCCCAGAGGGGGCUCCGGCGGGUGCGGGGGUGGGCGUGCAGGGAUGGGAGUGGGGUCGGCGGGGAGUGGGGUCGGCGGGGGACCGCCCCCCAGCCGGCGACCGGCCUCUGCCGGGCGCAUUUCCACCGCGGUGGUGCGCCGCGACCGCCUGCGGGACGGCUGGGAAGGCCGGCGGGGAGGUGGCUCGUGGGGACCCUCCGCCCUCCCUCUCGGGAGGGCCGGAGAGCCGGGGGCCCGCCCCCCCGAGUGUUACAGCCCCCGGGCAGCAGCACUCGCCUAAUCCCGUGGCCGAGGGAGCAGGCCUUCGCUGCGCUCUCCCCUGCCCGGCGCUCACACCUGCGUCGACUUCGAGAGGGGUCCCCCGCGGGGCGCGCCGGUCCCGUGUGGGCCGGGCCACACCUCCCACGGCGCGAACGCUCCCCCACCCCCGGCGACGGGGCACACGUGGGGCCGCGGUGGACUGUCCCCAGUUCGCCCCGGGCGGGUCACGCAAUCGGUGCCGGGGGGUCUCCAGGCGCCAGGCCAUGACCAAAGCAGAGCGAAGCGAGCGCACGGGGUCAGCGGCGAUGUCGGCCACCCACCCGACCCGUCCUAAAACACGGACCAAGGAGUCUAACAAGUGCGCGGGUCAGGGGCUCCCACAAAAGCCGCCGUGGAGCAAUGAAGGUGAAGUCCGGCGAGCAGCGCCGGCCGUGGUGGGAUCCCGAGGCCUCUCCAGUCCGCCGAGGGCGCACCACCGGCCCGUCUCGCACGCCGCGCCGGGGAGGUGGAGCAUGAGUGCACGUGAUAGGAACCAAAAGAUGGUGAACUAUGCACGGGCAGGGCAAAGCCAGAGGAAACUCUGGUGGAGGUCCGUAGUGGUCCUGACGUGCAGAUCGGUCGUCCGACCUGGGUAUAGGGGUGAGAGACUACUCAAACCAUCUGAGAGCUGGUUCCUUCCGAAGUUUCCCUCAGGAUACCUGGCGCUCUCGCACGUGAACCCACGGUUUUAUCUGGUAAAGCGAAACAUUAGAGGUCUUGGGGCCGAGACGAUCUCAACCUAUUCUCAAAGAUUAAAUGGGUAAGAAGCCCGGCUCGCUGGCGUGCAGCCGGGCGUGGAAUGCGAGUGCCUAGUGGGCCACUUUUGGUGAGCAGAACUGGCGCUGUGGGAUGAAACAUACGCCGGGUUUAGGCGCCCGAAGUGGCGCUCAUCAGGCCCCGGAAAAGGUGUUGGUUGGUAUAGACAGCAGGACGGUGGCCAUGGAAGUCGGAAUCCGCUAAGGAGUGUGUAACAACUCACCUGCCGAAUCCACUAGCCCUGAAAAUGAAUGGCGCUGGAGCGUCGCGCCCAUACACGGCCGUCGCUGGCAGUCGGUGACGCGUGAGAGGGACGGGAGUGGGUGGGGGUUUGUGGCGCACGCAGCGGUCUUCUCCCUCUCCUGGGGGGCGGCCACGGUCCUCGCUCUUUUCUCUCCCCGACCGCCACCCCCGUUGACGCUACGCCGCGACGAGUAGUAGGGCCGCUGCGGUGAGCCUUGAAGCCUAGGCCCGGGCCUGGGUGGAGCCGCCGCAGGUGCAGAUCUUGUUGGUAGUGGCAAAUAUUGAAACGAGAACUUGGAAGGCCGAAGUGGAGAAGGGUUCCAUGUGAACAGCAGUCGAACAUGGUCAGUCGGUCCUGAGAGAUGGGCGAGCGCCGUUCCGAAGGGACGGGCGAUGGCCUCCGUUGCCCUCAGCCGAUCGAAAGGGAGUCGGGUUCAGAUCCCCGAAUCCGGAGUGGCGGAGAUGGGCGCCGCGAGGCGUCCAGUGCGGUAACGCAACCGAUGCCGGCGGGAGCCCCGGGGAGAGCGCUCUUUUCUUUGUGAAGGGCGGGGCGCCCUGGAAUGGGUUCACCCCGAGAGAGGGGCCCGUGCCUUGCAAAGUGUCACGGUUCUGGCGGCGUCUGGUGAGCUCUCGCUGGCCCUUGAAAAUCCGUGGGAGAGGGUGUAAAUCUCGCGCCGGGCCGUACCCAUAUCCGCAGCAGGUCUCCAAGGUGAACAGCCUGUGGCAUGUUGGAACAAUGUAGGUAAGGGAAGUCAGCAAGCCGGAUCCGUAACUUCGGGAUAAGGAUUGGCUCUAAGGGUUGGGUUGGUCGUGCUGCGGUGCAAAGCGGGGCUGGGCAAGUGCCGUGGGUGCACGAGGCGCCGCCUACCCCCCCCACGCCCGGGGCACCCCUGCCCCGCCCCGCCCCCGCGGCCCUCCUCCGCCCCACUCCGCGCUUCUCGCCCCCCCGCUCUCCUCCCCCCCCUCCUCUACCCCCCGCUCUCCUCCCCCCCCCGCUCUCCUCCCCCCCGCUCUCCUCCGCCCCCGCUCUCCUCCCCACCCCGCUCUCCUCCCCCCCCCCGCUCUCCUCUUCUCCCAUCCCCCUUCCUGGGGGGGCAGGGGCGUGGAAGCGGGGCGGGGGUUGCGGCGGGGUCCCGGCGGUGUGAGAGUUCCCCGUGAGGCCCGCGGGCCCACGGGACACGGGCACCCGGGGGCCGGUGGCGGCGCGACUCUGGACGGAGCCGGGCCCUUCCCGUGGAUCUCCGCAGCUGCGGCGGGCGUCGCGGCUGCACCCGGGCAGCCAGGCAGGUGCCCGGUGGCGGCGGACUGUGGCGGUGGUCCCGUCCCCCGUCGCUCCGGUCCGCCGCUCACAGCCCGGCGCCGCCCCCCGCCGCCCGCGUUGGUCGGUGCGCCGGUCCGCCCCGGGCCGCGGUUCCGAGCGGUGCCUCGCCUCGGCCGGCGCCUAGCAGCAGAGUUAGAACUGGUGCGGACCAGGGAAUCCGACUGUUUAAUAAAAACAAAGCAUCGCGAAGGCCCGCGGCGGGUGUGCACGCGAUGUGAUUUCUGCCCAGUGCCCUGAAUGUCAAAGUGAAGAAAUUCACUGAAGCGCGGGUGAACGGCGGGAGUAACUAGGACUCUCCUAAGGUAGCCCAAUGCCUCGUCAUCUAAUCGGUGACGCGCAUGAAUGGAUGAACGAGAUUCCCACUGUCCCUACCUACUAUCCAGCGAAACCACAGCCAAGGGAACGGGCUUGGCGGAAUCAGCGGGGAAAGAAGACCCUGUUGAGCUUGACUCUAGUGUGGCGCGGUGAAGAGCCCUGAGAGGUGUAGAAUAAGUGGGAGGCCCCCGGCGCCCCUCCGUCCCGGUGUGGGGGCGGGGCGGGGGCCGCCGUUGAAAUACCACUACUCUUACCGUUUCUUCACUGACCCGGAGAGGCGGUGAGGCGGCGCGGGGGGGCGAGCCCGAGGUGUUCUCGCUUUUGACCCAAAGCGCCCGGACGCGCCGGCCGGGUGUGAGCCGCUCCGGGGACAGUGCCAGGUGGGGAGUUUGACUGGGGCGGUACACCUGUCAAACGGUAACGCAGGUGUCCUAAGGCGAGCUCAGGGAGGACAGAAACCUCCCGUGGAGCAGAAGGGCAAAAGCUCGCUCGAUCUUGUUUUUCAGGAUGAAUACAGACCGUGAAUGCGGGGCCUCACGAUCCUUCUGGCCUUUUGGGUUUUAAGCAGGAGGGGUCAGAAAAGUUCCCACAGGGAUAACUGGCUUGUGGCGGACAAGCGUUCGUAGCGACGUCGCUUUUUUUUUUAAAGUGCUUUUUUUUUUUUUUUUUUUUUAAUGACAGUCACAGAGAGGGAGAGAGGCAGAGGGAGAAGCAGGCUCCAUGCACCGGGAGCCCGACGUGGGAUUCGAUCCCGGGUCUCCAGGAUCACGCCCUGGGCCAAAGGCAGGCGCCAAACCGCUGCGCCACCCAGGGAUCCCGCGCCGUCGCUUUUUGAUCCUUCGAUGUCGGCUCUUCCUAUCAUUGUGAAGCAGAAUUCACCAAGCGUUGGAUUGUUCACCCACUAAUAGGGAACGUGAGUUGGGUUUAGACCGUCGUGAGACAGGUUAGUUUUACCCUAUUGAUGGAUGAUGUGUUGUUGCCAUGGUAAUCCUGCUCAGUACGAGAGGAACCGCAGGUUCAGACAUUUGGUGCAUGUGCUUGGCUGAGGAGCCAAUGGGGCGAAGCUACCAUCUGUGGGAUUAGGACUGAACGCCUCUAAGUCAGAAUCCCGCCCAGGCGGAACGAUAGGGCAGCGCCGCGGGGCCUCGGUUGGCCUCAGAUAGCCGGUCCCCCGCCGUCCCCGCCGGCGGGCCGCCGCGCGUCGGGACCGGGGACCGGUGCGGAGAGCCCCUCGUCCCGGGAAACGGGGCGCGGCCGGAAAGGGGGCCGCCCCCUCGCCCGUCACGCAACGCACAUUCAUGGGGAACCUGGUGCUAAACCAUUCGUAGACGACCUGCUUCUGGGUCGGGGUUUCGUACGUAGCAGAGCAGCUCCGUCGCUGCGAUCUAUUGAAAGUCAGCCCUCGACACAAGGGUUUGU
Nyctereutes procyonoides (raccoon dog) is the source of this 4917-nucleotide ribosomal RNA. Lineage: Eukaryota; Metazoa; Chordata; Mammalia; Carnivora; Canidae. The record is from RefSeq and is a predicted model, not a curated record.